RNAcentral lists this ribosomal RNA (447 nucleotides) under Kryptoperidinium foliaceum. Its description in RNAcentral is "partial Eukaryotic large subunit ribosomal RNA". It matches the Rfam family "Eukaryotic large subunit ribosomal RNA", at positions 13 to 447 of the family's 3401-position model. Lineage: Eukaryota; Dinophyceae; Peridiniales; Kryptoperidiniaceae. The record is from RNAcentral.
AAGUAAGACUACCUGCUGAAUUUAAGCAUAUUAUUAAGCAGAGGAAAAGAAACUAACAAGGAUACCCCUAGUAAUGGCGAAUGAAGCGGGUAAAGCUCAAAUUUAAAAUCCCUGUCCUCAGCGGACAGGGAGUUGUAGUCUAGGAUCAGUGCAUGAUAGAGUCCUGCCCCGGUAAAAGUGCUCUGGAAAGGGCCAUCAUAGAAGGUGAAAAUCCUGUACAUGACCGGAGGCUGUUGGGUUCAACGAUUCUUGCGCCGAUACAGAGUCGGGUUGCUCGGGAAUGCAGCCUUAAAUGGGUGGUAAAUCUCAUCUAAAGCUAAAUACUGACAUGAGACCGAUAGCGAACAAGUACCGUGAGGGAAAGAUGAAAAGAACUUUGAAAAGAGAGUUAAAAGUACUUGAAAUUGUUAACAGGGAAUCGCUUGUAUUCCAAGCUCUGAUUGUAGG